CCUACGGGGGGCUGCAGUGGGGAAUAUUGGGCAAUGGGCGCAAGCCUGACCCAGCAACGCCGCGUGAAGGAAGAAGGCUUUCGGGUUGUAAACUUCUUUUAAGAGGGAAGAGCAGAAGACGGUACCUCUUGAAUAAGCCACGGCUAACUACGUGCCAGCAGCCGCGGUAAUACGUAGGUGGCAAGCGUUGUCCGGAUUUACUGGGUGUAAAGGGCGUGUAGCCGGGCUGACAAGUCAGAUGUGAAAUUCCGGGGCUCAACCCCGGACCUGCAUUUGAAACUGGUGGUCUUGAGGAUCGGAGAGGGAGGGCGAAAUUCUAGGUGUGGGGGGAAA
RNAcentral lists this ribosomal RNA (333 nucleotides) under uncultured bacterium. RNAcentral's name for it is "partial 16S ribosomal RNA". It matches the Rfam family "Bacterial small subunit ribosomal RNA", at positions 338 to 686 of the family's 1533-position model. The record is from RNAcentral.